CUCAGGACGAACGCUGGCGGCGUGCCUAAUACAUGCAAGUCGAACGAACGGAGGAAGAGCUUGCUCUUCCAAAGUUAGUGGCGGACGGGUGAGUAACACGUGGGCAACCUGCCUGUAAGUUGGGGAUAACUCCGGGAAACCGGGGCUAAUACCGAAUGAUAAAGUGUGGCGCAUGCCACGCUUUUGAAAGAUGGUUUCGGCUAUCGCUUACAGAUGGGCCCGCGGUGCAUUAGCUAGUUGGUAGGGUAAUGGCCUACCAAGGCAACGAUGCAUAGCCGACCUGAGAGGGUGAUCGGCCACACUGGGACUGAGACACGGCCCAGACUCCUACGGGAGGCAGCAGUAGGGAAUCUUCCGCAAUGGACGAAAGUCUGACGGAGCAACGCCGCGUGUAUGAAGAAGGUUUUCGGAUCGUAAAGUACUGUUGUUAGAGAAGAACAAGGAUAAGAGUAACUGCUUGUCCCUUGACGGUAUCUAACCAGAAAGCCACGGCUAACUACGUGCCAG
Molecule: ribosomal RNA, 507 nt
Filed under: Listeria monocytogenes
Lineage: Bacteria; Bacillati; Bacillota; Bacilli; Caryophanales; Listeriaceae
Description: bacterial SSU rRNA
Rfam family: Bacterial small subunit ribosomal RNA
Source: RNAcentral